GAAUUCGCCCUUAGAGUUUGAUCCUGGCUCAGGAUGAACGUUGGCGGUGUGCCUAAUACAUGCAAGUCGAACGGUGACGAUUUUGUAGCAAUACGAAUGAAAUCAUAGUGGCGAACGGGUGAGUAACGCGUUGGUGAUCUGCCUCGAAGUGUGGAAUAACUUCCCGAAAGGGUAGCUAAUACCGCAUAGUCUCUCAAGGUUUAGAAAAUUGAGAGUAAAGGAUUUAUUCGCUUCGAGAGGAGCCUGCGUCCCAUCAGCUAGUUGGUAGGGUAAUAGCCUACCAAGGCAAUGACGGGUAGGGGACCUGAGAGGGUGGCCCCCCACAAUGGAACUGAAACACGGUCCAUACACCUACGGGUGGCAGCAGUAGGGAAUAUUAGAAAUGGGCGAAAGCCUGAUCUAGCAACACCGCGUGUGCGAUGAAGGCCUUCGGGUUGUAAAGCACUUUUUGGAGGGAAUAGGAAGGAAGGUACCUCCAGAAUAAGUCUCGGCUGACUACGUGCCAGCAGCCGCGGUAACACGUAGGAGGCAAACGUUAUCCGGAUUCACUGGGCGUAAAGCGCGUGUAGGUGGUUCUGUAAGUAGGGCGUGAAAGCUCCCGGCUCAACUGGGAGAGGCCGUACUAAACUGCAGAGCUAGAGGAUGGUAGAGGGAGGUGGAAUUCCAGGUGUAGUGGUGAAAUGCGCAGAUAUCUGGAGGAACACCAGUGGCGAAGGCGGCCUCCUGGACCAUUCCUGACACUCAGACGCGAAAGCUAGGGUAGCAAACGGAAUUAGAGACUCCGGUAGUCCUAGCCCUAAACGAUGCAGACUAGGCGUCGGCGGUGUAAUCACCGUCGGUGUCCAAGCUAACGCGAUAAGUCUGCCGCCUGAGGACUACGGCCGCAAGGCUAAAACUCAAAGGAAAAGACGGGUCCCCGCACAAGCAGCGGAGCGUGUGGUUUAAUUCGACGCAAUGCGAAAAACCUUACCAGGCCUCGACAUCCCUCUGACCGGUUUAGAGAUAAGCCCUUCCCUUCGGGGACAGAGGAGACAGGUGGUGCAUGGUUGUCGUCAGCUCGUGUCGUGAGAUGUUGGGUUAAGUCCCGCAACGAGCGCAACCCCCAUCAUUAGUUGCUAACAUUAAGUUGAGAACUCUAAUGAGACUGCCAGCGAUAAGUUGGAGGAAGGUGGGGAGGACGUCAAAUCAUCAUGCCCCCUAUGGCCUGGGCUACACACGUGCUACAAUGGCCGGUACAAAGAGCAGCGAAACUGUGAAGUGAAGCAAAUCUCAAAAAGCCGGUCUCAGUUCGGAUUGUAGUCUGCAACUCGACUACAUGAAGUCGGAAUCGCUAGUAAUCGUGAAUCAGCAUGUCACGGCGAAUAAGGUCUCGAGUUUUGUACACACCGCCCGUCA
RNAcentral lists this ribosomal RNA (1395 nucleotides) under uncultured bacterium. Its description in RNAcentral is "bacterial SSU rRNA". It matches the Rfam family "Bacterial small subunit ribosomal RNA". The record is from RNAcentral.